Small nucleolar RNA from Lotus japonicus, 107 nucleotides. The record is from RefSeq and is a predicted model, not a curated record. Lineage: Eukaryota; Viridiplantae; Streptophyta; Magnoliopsida; Fabales; Fabaceae.
AGAUUAUGUUGAGGACAUUUCCUCAAGAGAUUCUUAAAACGUUCCCAAGCUUCGUAAAGACUCUCCUCCGGAAGUUGCACAAAUAUCAUGAUGUCAUUCUUCAAUUU